UGUGGGGUGGUGAGGGUCUCCCCACCAGUGCUGCACCCCGCAGCAGCAUACAGGCCUGUGUGGCCUGCUGGCCCUGUGGCUCUGUGUACAGCGCUGUGCAUGUUACAUUUGCUCUGGAAACAUCUCUGGGGUUUGCUUGUUCACGAAGUUCAUGAAGUGCCGCUGGAGAGCCAGAGACCAGCUGCGCAGGAGCCGGAGGAACGGGCAGGCCGCUGACCUGAGGUCUGGAGAAACCCCUGGAGAAGGGUGUCCCCACCAGCCCAUACAGCGUGUGUGUGGAGGGGGCCUUGACCUCCGUGAUGUCUACUGUGCCUCAGGAUAAGGACCCGCCAUGCCCUGGCUAGACAGUGUGUGGUUUUUUAUUGGCACCUCAGUCUCAACAUUUUCUUUUCGGAUUCAUGAGGAAAGAGAAAUCCUGGGGUUGGACCCCAAGACGACGUACAACAGGUUCUGCGGAGACCAAGAGAAGGCGUGUGAGCAACCCACCCACUGGAAGAUCACCUACUGAGGAGGAUCCUCCAGGGCCGCUCCCCGGACCCGACAGGCGCGGGUGGAUGCAGGUUCUGUCGCCGUGGAGUCACCGUCUACUGCCAGCCGGGAGCUGGGCGGACAGGAC
Molecule: long non-coding RNA, 616 nt
Filed under: Homo sapiens (human)
Lineage: Eukaryota; Metazoa; Chordata; Mammalia; Primates; Hominidae
Description: non-protein coding lnc-SLC19A1-10:2
Source: RNAcentral